AGUGAACGCUGGCGGUAGGCCUAACACAUGCAAGUCGAACGGCAGCACAGUAAGAGCUUGCUCUUACGGGUGGCGAGUGGCGGACGGGUGAGGAAUACAUCGGAAUCUACUUUUUCGUGGGGGAUAACGUAGGGAAACUUACGCUAAUACCGCAUACGACCUACGGGUGAAGGCAGGGGAUCUUCGGACCCUGCGCGAUUGAAUGAGCCGAUGUCGGAUUAGCUAGUUGGCGGGGUAAAGGCCCACCAAGGCGACGAUCCGUAGCUGGUCUGAGAGGAUGAUCAGCCACACUGGAACUGAGACACGGUCCAGACUCCUACGGGAGGCAGCAGUGGGGAAUAUUGGACAAUGGGCGCAAGCCUGAUCCAGCCAUACCGCGUGGGUGAAGAAGGCCUUCGGGUUGUAAAGCCCUUUUGUUGGGAAAGAAAAGCAGCAGGUUAAUACCCCGCUGUUCUGACGGUACCCAAAGAAUAAGCACCGGCUAACUUCGUG
Molecule: ribosomal RNA, 492 nt
Filed under: uncultured bacterium
Lineage: Bacteria
Description: partial 16S ribosomal RNA
Rfam family: Bacterial small subunit ribosomal RNA
Source: RNAcentral